Molecule: long non-coding RNA, 812 nt
Organism: Marmota monax (woodchuck)
Lineage: Eukaryota; Metazoa; Chordata; Mammalia; Rodentia; Sciuridae
Exons: 3
Source: RefSeq, a predicted model, not a curated record
UUUGUUCUUUUAGGAACAGGUUUGUCUAGCAACUUGUAUUUAUAAUCUUCCUUGUGAUUUGUUUGAUCAGCGUAUUGUUUCUUACGUUGGGCUGCUGCGGGCUUACCGGUCAAGUUCAUUAGGCUUUGGUGGGCCUAAUGAGGAGCUCACAAACCCAGCUCUUCAUAAACUCACCCUCAAGAAUGCUUCUCCUCUGCUCUUUUUCUCCUCUGACUAUUGUUUCAAUUUGUUGAGGUCUUAUCACAUACCUGCCUGGGAGCGGAGGGCUUUACCUGUCUUCACAUCCUGUGGUUAUAACCCUGUGAACCCAGGUCCUGUUAGUUCCAUGUUUCAUAUAAGUAAACAACUCUUGGAGGAGUAAAGAAGAUCUUAUUCAGAACUACAAGGGGGAAAGGUGAGGAUCCUCAACUGUGAACUCCUAUGGGCCAGACUCCAAGGCCUUGGGACCUGCUGGGUUGAGGAGGAAAGUCGAAGUCUGCAGAGCUUCCAGAACGUCUUCUCUUCAGUCGCAGACACCAGGAUGUAGCCAUCACGAAGCAAUAAUUCUUGUUGAACUCAUCUAUUUGCCAAUCCCAGUGCUGAGCCUCUUAAUGGGUGUUCUCUCACCGAUUACUCACCACUGUUGUGAAGAAGCAUAAACAUUGUCCCCAUUUUAAUGACGAGGAAACUGAGAUUCGGACACCUUAAGGAAGUUCCUCAAGGUCUUUCGUAGACCAGGGUGCAGCUGGAGUCUUCGCCCAAAUUUGUUUUACACGGGGGUUCUUUGCUAUACUGAUUUCUAAAAUUAAUAUUCACAGAAAGAAGAAAAUAAA